GGGAAUGAUGAUUUCACAGACUAGAGUCUCUGACACUGGUUCUGAUGUCAAAAAUAAUGUCUGACUC
Cavia aperea (Brazilian guinea pig) is the source of this 67-nucleotide small nucleolar RNA. Ensembl annotates it as small nucleolar RNA, C/D box 52. Lineage: Eukaryota; Metazoa; Chordata; Mammalia; Rodentia; Caviidae. The record is from Ensembl.